AUGUUCAACUCAUGGCCUGCAUCAACAACUUCAAUCAUAUUUCUUCUCUCUUUAUCGGUCUUUACCCAGAACACCCAUGAGGCUGCCGCCACGCUGCGAGGGGAGCAAGUCGAGGUGCCUAUCCGGGCUGCAAAAAUGCCGGGCAUCACCGACUUGGAUGUUGUGUCCUGCUCGAGCACGUCAUUAAUGGGUGUUGGACAUGGACUCCACAUGGAACACUCUCUUUGCCACAUUAAAGAUGGCCUCAAGCCCCUAUACGGAAGUGUCCAGUCUCGCCGUUCUACCAUUUUCUCUGGAACAACGAUGUACAACUUUGAACACAGACCGCCAAUGCUCCACCUGAGGUACGCAAUUGUACAAUCCACAUGCCAAGCCAUGAGUAAAGUAGCAAGCUAUUCUGUUUUAAAACUUGUUUGGAAGAGCAUGUGUUUUGGGCUUUACACUUCACCAUGA
This 453-nucleotide ribosomal RNA is filed under the name Triticum aestivum (bread wheat). Its description in RNAcentral is "partial small subunit ribosomal RNA". Lineage: Eukaryota; Viridiplantae; Streptophyta; Magnoliopsida; Poales; Poaceae. The record is from RNAcentral.